GAUGAACGCUGGCGGCGUGCCUAAUACAUGCAAGUCGAGCGAACGGACGAGAAGCUUGCUUCUCUGAUGUUAGCGGCGGACGGGUGAGUAACACGUGGAUAACCUACCUAUAAGACUGGGAUAACUUCGGGAAACCGGAGCUAAUACCGGAUAAUAUUUUGAACCGCAUGGUUCAAAAGUGAAAGACGGUCUUGCUGUCACUUAUAGAUGGAUCCGCGCUGCAUUAGCUAGUUGGUAAGGUAACGGCUUACCAAGGCAACGAUGCAUAGCCGACCUGAGAGGGUGAUCGGCCACACGGGAACUGAGACACGGUCCAGACUCCUACGGGAGGCAGCAGUAGGGAAUCUUCCGCAAGGGGCGAAAGCCUGACGGAGCAACGCCGCGGGAGUGAUGAAGGUCUUCGGAUCGUAAAACUCUGUUAUUAGGGAAGAACAUAUGUGUAAGUAACUGUGCACAUCUUGACGGUACCUAAUCAGAAAACCACGGCUAACUACGU
RNAcentral lists this ribosomal RNA (496 nucleotides) under uncultured bacterium. RNAcentral's name for it is "partial 16S ribosomal RNA". It matches the Rfam family "Bacterial small subunit ribosomal RNA", at positions 28 to 506 of the family's 1533-position model. The record is from RNAcentral.